CUUGACCGAACCGAGCAGCAACGGCCGUUCCCGGUCCUGGCCGUAGGUCGCCAGCAGCGCCUGAGCCUC
Non-coding RNA from Amycolatopsis orientalis HCCB10007, 69 nucleotides. It matches the Rfam family "ASpks TB sRNA". NCBI's taxonomy places the organism in Bacteria, Bacillati, Actinomycetota, Actinomycetes, Pseudonocardiales, Pseudonocardiaceae. The record is from Rfam.